GAUGAACGCUGGCGGCGUGCCUAAUACAUGCAAGUCGAGCGAACGGACGAGAAGCUUGCUUCUCUGAUGUUAGCGGCGGACGGGUGAGUAACACGUGGAUAACCUACCUAUAAGACUGGGAUAACUUCGGGAAACCGGAGCUAAUACCGGAUAAUAUUUUGAACCGCAUGGUUCAAAAGUGAAAGACGGUCUUGCUGUCACUUAUAGAUGGAUCCGCGCUGCAUUAGCUAGUUGGUAAGGUAACGGCUUACCAAGGCAACGAUGCAUAGCCGACCUGAGAGGGUGAUCGGCCACACUGGAACUGAGACACGGUCCAGACUCCUACGGGAGGCAGCAGUAGGGAAUCUUCCGCAAUGGGCGAAAGCCUGACGGAGCAACGCCGCGUGAGUGAUGAAGGUCUUCGGAUCGUAAAACUCUGUUAUUAGGGAAGAACAUAUGUGUAAGUAACUGUGCACAUCUUGACGGUACCUAAUCAGAAAGCCACGGCUAACUACGUGCCAGCAGCCGCGGUAAUACGUAGGUGGCAAGCGUUAUCCGGAAUUAUUGGGCGUAAAGCGCGCGUAGGCGGUUUUUUAAGUCUGAUGUGAAAGCCCACGGCUCAACCGUGGAGGGUCAUUGGAAACUGGAAAACUUGAGUGCAGAAGAGGAAAGUGGAAUUCCAUGUGUAGCGGUGAAAUGCGCAGAGAUAUGGAGGAACACCAGUGGCGAAGGCGACUUUCUGGUCUGUAACUGACGCUGAUGUGCGAAAGCGUGGGGAUCAAACAGGAUUAGAUACCCUGGUAGUCCACGCCGUAAACGAUGAGUGCUAAGUGUUAGGGGGUUUCCGCCCCUUAGUGCUGCAGCUAACGCAUUAAGCACUCCGCCUGGGGAGUACGACCGCAAGGUUGAAACUCAAAGGAAUUGACGGGGACCCGCACAGGCGGUGGAGCAUGUGGUUUAAUUCGAAGCAACGCGAAGAACCUUACCAAAUCUUGACAUCCUUUGACAACUCUAGAGAUAGAGCCUUCCCCUUCGGGGGACAAAGUGACAGGUGGUGCAUGGUUGUCGUCAGCUCGUGUCGUGAGAUGUUGGGUUAAGUCCCGCAACGAGCGCAACCCUUAAGCUUAGUUGCCAUCAUUAAGUUGGGCACUCUAAGUUGACUGCCGGUGACAAACCGGAGGAAGGUGGGGAUGACGUCAAAUCAUCAUGCCCCUUAUGAUUUGGGCUACACACGUGCUACAAUGGACAAUACAAAGGGCAGCGAAACCGCGAGGCCAAGCAAAUCCCAUAAAGUUGUUCUCAGUUCGGAUUGUAGUCUGCAACUCGACUACAUGAAGCUGGAAUCGCUAGUAAUCGUAGAUCAGCAUGCUACGGUGAAUACGUUCCCGGGUCU
Molecule: ribosomal RNA, 1372 nt
Filed under: uncultured bacterium
Lineage: Bacteria
Description: bacterial SSU rRNA
Rfam family: Bacterial small subunit ribosomal RNA
Source: RNAcentral